UAAAAGUCGUAACAAGGUUUCCGUAGGUGAACCUGCGGAAGGAUCAUUAUCGAAUAAAUGUGAACGCGGUUGUCGCUGGCCUUCCGACGGGCAUGUGCACGCUUCGUUCAUUUUUUUCUAUCUUUACACCCCUGUGCACUUCUCAUAGGUCGCGUUGCGUGUCUGAUUUAAUUAUCGGACUCGUGCUCUUCCUGUGUGUUUUAUAUACGUACGCUUGCAUGUUUUAGAAUGUCACUGUGAUGCAUAAGAUUGCAUAUAAUACAACUUUCAGCAACGGAUCUCUUGGCUCUCGCAUCGAUGAAGAACGCAGCGAAAUGCGAUAAGUAAUGUGAAUUGCAGAAUUCAGUGAAUCAUCGAAUCUUUGAACGCACCUUGCGCUCCUUGGUAUUCCGAGGAGCAUGCCUGUUUGAGUGUCAUGGUAUUCUCAACUCUUCUGUGUUUAAUUGAACGCAGUUGAGCUUGGAUGUGGAGGUUUUUUUUGUUGGGGCUCAAACAAAUAUAUUUGUUUGAAUGCCGACUCCUCUGAAAUGCAUUAGCUUGAAUGUUUACCAAGCAUGAUUCAGCGUGAUAAUUGUCUACGUUGCUUCAUCCUGGUAUUUAAUAUGUUCUAGCUGCGAACUGUCCCUUUGGACGUUGUUUUAGAACAUCUGACCUCAAAUCAGGUAGGACUACCCGCUGAACUUAAGCAUAU
RNAcentral lists this ribosomal RNA (691 nucleotides) under cf. Steccherinum sp. 1 LR-2015. Its description in RNAcentral is "eukaryotic LSU rRNA". The stretch from base 263 to 416 matches the Rfam family "5.8S ribosomal RNA". The record is from RNAcentral. Lineage: Eukaryota; Fungi; Basidiomycota; Agaricomycetes; Polyporales; Steccherinaceae.